Molecule: transfer RNA, 70 nt
Filed under: Aphyosemion coeleste (sky-blue killifish)
Lineage: Eukaryota; Metazoa; Chordata; Actinopteri; Cyprinodontiformes; Nothobranchiidae
Description: tRNA-His
Rfam family: tRNA
About the family: Transfer RNA (tRNA) molecules are approximately 80 nucleotides in length. Their secondary structure includes four short double-helical elements and three loops (D, anti-codon, and T loops). Further hydrogen bonds mediate the characteristic L-shaped molecular structure. tRNAs have two regions of fundamental functional importance: the anti-codon, which is responsible for specific mRNA codon recognition, and the 3' end, to which the tRNAs corresponding amino acid is attached (by aminoacyl-tRNA synthetases). tRNAs cope with the degeneracy of the genetic code in two manners: having more than one tRNA (with a specific anti-codon) for a particular amino acid; and 'wobble' base-pairing, i.e. permitting non-standard base-pairing at the 3rd anti-codon position.
Source: RNAcentral
GUAGAUAUAGUUUAAAUUAAAACAUCAGAUUGUGAUUCUAAUAAUAGAAGUUAAAAUCUUCUUAUCCACC